Molecule: ribosomal RNA, 420 nt
Filed under: uncultured bacterium
Lineage: Bacteria
Description: bacterial SSU rRNA
Rfam family: Bacterial small subunit ribosomal RNA
Source: RNAcentral
UAAGGAAUAUUGCUCAAUGGGAGAAAUCCUGAAGCAGCAACGCCGCGUGGAGGAUGAAGGGUCUAUGACUUGUAAACUCCUGUAAAGAAGGAAAAAAUUCCCAUUAGAUGGGAGAUGAUGGUACUUCUGGAGUAAGCCCCGGCUAACUACGUGCCAGCAGCCGCGGUAAUACGUAGGGGGCAAGCGUUGUCCGGAUUUACUGGGUGUAAAGGGUGCUCAGGCGGAUUUGUAAGUCAGAGGUGAAAUCUUACAGCUUAACUGUGAAACUGCCUUUGAUACGGCAAGCCUAGAGUAUGGAAGAGAGUGAUGGAAUAUCUGGUGUAGCAGUGAAAUGCGUAGAUAUCAGAUAGAACACCAAUGGCGAAGGCAGUCACUUGGUCCAUUACUGACGCUAAAGCACGAAAGCGUGGGUAGCAAACA